This 506-nucleotide long non-coding RNA is filed under the name Canis lupus dingo (dingo). Its description in RNAcentral is "lncRNA (ENSCAFG00020002198.1)". The record is from RNAcentral. Lineage: Eukaryota; Metazoa; Chordata; Mammalia; Carnivora; Canidae.
CCUCCCGGCCGCCGGGGGCGCCCCUCCUGCGGCCUCAGGGCCGGCGCCGCCUCCCGCUGGGUCUCCGCCCCCGCGCUGUGAUUGGCCGGCGGGGCGGGGCGGGGCGGGGCGGGGGCGGGGCCGAGGAGGCCGGGGCGACCGCGAGCGGCUCGGCGGGGUUGCCCGACCCCAGGGCGGCGGCCGCGGUCACCGCCCUCGCCCCGCGGUUCCCCGCAGCGACUGGUUCCUGCCGCGGCUCCGGGUUUCCUUCCGCGAAAUGAAAGCGGGCGGCGGCGCGUCGGUAGGAGCAGCGGCUCCGGGCUAGAGAGCAGGCUUUCAUCGCCGGCCAGCAGCACCGGCGGCGGCCGCUCUGUGCGACAUCUGUGGGGAGCUGGAGCCUGUGCCACCGGCCGGACGCCUCCUGAGGGCAGAGGGGCCUGGUGCCCCAGGAGCUGCUGCGGCUCAGAAAGGGUCACAAACCUGGGACAAUGGAAAAGUAUGGUCACAGAGUACUAGCAGCCCGGACG